This is a long non-coding RNA of Hemibagrus wyckioides, 311 nucleotides long. RefSeq lists it as uncharacterized. NCBI's taxonomy places the organism in Eukaryota, Metazoa, Chordata, Actinopteri, Siluriformes, Bagridae. The record is from RefSeq and is a predicted model, not a curated record. The transcript has 4 exons.
GGGAUGGAGUCGCGUGCAGAUGAACCAAAAGGCAGAGAGCUGACAGACUCUGCUGAAGUUCAGUUUUCAGAUGAUGCUGAGGCUUUAGAUACAAUGGUAGUGUCUGUAGAAGAGAAGAUUGCUGUGUGUGAUGCAAUCCUUCAGGAUCUGUUAGCUGUUCAGAGAAUUAUAAAGGAAAAAGGUCUUUGUGAUGCAGCAUUUCAGGAACAAAAGAAUCAAGCUGAUCUUGCACUAUGAAUAUAUUUAAGUUAAAACUUGAACUUUUCUAAACAACUAAUAAAAUGAUGUGAAAGGAUGUGCAAAUAAUGGAG